CGGGUGGUAAUGCCGGAUGCUCCAGUUGAUCGCAUGGUCUUCUGGGAAAGCUUUCGCGGUAUGGGAUGGGGUCGCGUCCUAUCAGCUUGACGGCGGGGUAACGGCCCACCGUGGCUUCGACGGGUAGCCGGCCUGAGAGGGCGACCGGCCACAUUGGGACUGAGAUACGGCCCAGACUCCUACGGGAGGCAGCAGUGGGGAAUAUUGCACAAUGGGCGCAAGCCUGAUGCAGCGACGCCGCGUGAGGGAUGGAGGCCUUCGGGUUGUAAACCUCUUUUAUCGGGGAGCAAGCGUGAGUGAGUUUACCCGUUGAAUAAGCACCGGCUAACUACGUGCCAGCAGCCGCGGUAAUACGUAGGGUGCAAGCGUUAUCCGGAAUUAUUGGGCGUAAAGGGCUCGUAGGCGGUUCGUCGCGUCCGGUGUGAAAGUCCAUCGCUUAACGGUGGAUCCGCGCCGGGUACGGGCGGGCUUGAGUGCGGUAGGGGAGACUGGAAUUCCCGGUGUAACGGUGGAAUGUG
Molecule: ribosomal RNA, 518 nt
Filed under: Bifidobacterium longum subsp. suillum
Lineage: Bacteria; Bacillati; Actinomycetota; Actinomycetes; Bifidobacteriales; Bifidobacteriaceae
Description: bacterial SSU rRNA
Rfam family: Bacterial small subunit ribosomal RNA
Source: RNAcentral